CUCUUCGGGGAUGAUUAAACCGGCGCACGGGUGAGUAACACGUGAGUGACCUGCCUUUUAGACUGGAACAACUUACCGAAAGGUGAGCUAAUGCCGGAUGAGUUAUAUAAGUGCAUGUUUAUAUAGGAAAAGUUGGGGAGACCUGACGCUGAAAGAUGGACUCGCGUCCCAUUAGCUAGUUGGUAGGGUAAUGGCCUACCAAGGCGACGAUGGGUAGCCGGCCUGAGAGGGUGGCCGGCCACACUGGGACUGAGACACGGCCCAGACUCCUACGGGAGGCAGCAGUGGGGAAUUUUGCGCAAUGCUCGUAAGAGUGACGCAGCGACGCCGCGUGAAUGACGAAGGCCUUCGGGUCGUAAAGUUCUUUCGACAGGGAAGAAAAUGCCUAUAAGUAACUGUGUAUGUAUUGACGGUACCUGUAUAAGCAGCCCCGGCUAACUCCGUGCCAGCAGCCGCGGUAAUACGGAGGGGGCGAGCGUUGUUCGGAGUGACUGGGCGUAAAGAGCACGUAGGCGGUGUUGUAAGUCAUUAGUCAAAGACUAGAGCUCAACUUUAGUAAGGCUAGUGAUACUAUAAUACUAGAGUAUCAGAGAGGAUUGCAGAAUUCCUGGUGUAGCGGUGAAAUGCGUAGAUAUCAGGAGGAAUACCGUUAGCGAAGGCGGCAAUCUGGCUGGAAACUGACGCUGAGGUGCGAAAGCGUGGGUAGCAAACAGGAUUAGAUACCCUGGUAGUCCACGCUGUAAACGAUGGAUGCUAGGUGUUGGGCUUUUAAGUUCAGUGCCGCAGCNAACGCGAUAAGCAUCCCGCC
RNAcentral lists this ribosomal RNA (808 nucleotides) under uncultured bacterium. Its description in RNAcentral is "bacterial SSU rRNA". It matches the Rfam family "Bacterial small subunit ribosomal RNA", at positions 76 to 873 of the family's 1533-position model. The record is from RNAcentral.